This 432-nucleotide ribosomal RNA is filed under the name uncultured bacterium. RNAcentral's name for it is "partial 16S ribosomal RNA". It matches the Rfam family "Bacterial small subunit ribosomal RNA", at positions 29 to 507 of the family's 1533-position model. The record is from RNAcentral.
AACGAACGCUGGCGGCAGGCCUAACACAUGCAAGUCGAGCGAGACCUUCGGGUCUAGCGGCGGACGGGUGAGUAACGCGUGGGAACGUGCCCUUUUCUACGGAAUAGCCUCGGGAAACUGAGCGUAAUACCGUAUACGCCCUUUGGGGGAAAGAUUAUCGGAGAAGGAUCGGCCCGCGUUGGAUUAGGUAGUUGGUGGGGUAAUGGCCUACCAAGCCUACGAUCCAUAGCUGGUUUGAGAGGAUGAUCAGCCACACUGGGACUGAGACACGGCCCAGACUCCUACGGGAGGCAGCAGUGGGGAAUCUUAGACAAUGGGGGCAACCCUGAUCUAGCCAUGCCGCGUGAGUGAUGAAGGCCUUAGGGUUGUAAAGCUCUUUCAGCUGGGAAGAUAAUGACGGUACCAGCAGAAGAAGCCCCGGCUAACUCCGUG